RNAcentral lists this ribosomal RNA (254 nucleotides) under uncultured bacterium. RNAcentral describes it as "partial 16S ribosomal RNA". It matches the Rfam family "Bacterial small subunit ribosomal RNA", at positions 524 to 776 of the family's 1533-position model. The record is from RNAcentral.
UACGUAGGGUGCGAGCGUUUAAUCGGAAUUACUGGGCGUAAAGCGUGCGCAGGCGGUUAUGUAAGACAGUUGUGAAAUCCCCGGGCUCAACCUGGGAAUGGCAUUUGGGACUGCAAGGCUGGAGUGCGGCAGAGGAGACUGGAAUUCCUGGUGUAGCAGUGAAAUGCGUAGAUAUCAGGAGGAAUACCGAUGGCGAAGGCAGGUCUCUGGGCUGACACUGACGCUCAUGCACGAAAGCGUGGGGAGCAAACCGG